Molecule: ribosomal RNA, 421 nt
Filed under: soil bacterium NS1
Lineage: Bacteria
Description: bacterial SSU rRNA
Rfam family: Bacterial small subunit ribosomal RNA
Source: RNAcentral
AACACAUGCAAGUCGAACGGUGAAGGGGAGCUUGCUCCCUGGAUCAAGUGGCGAACGGGUGAGUAACACGUGAGCAAUCUGCCCCUGACUCUGGGAUAAGCGCUGGAAACGGCGUCUAAUACUGGAUACGAGCUGCGAUCGCAUGGUCAGCAGUUGGAAAGAACUUCGGUCAGGGAUGAGCUCGCGGCCUAUCAGCUUGUUGGUGAGGUAAUGGCUCACCAAGGCGUCGACGGGUAGCCGGCCUGAGAGGGUGACCGGCCACACUGGGACUGAGACACGGCCCAAACUCCUACGGGAGGCAGCAGUGGGGAAUAUUGCACAAUGGGCGCAAGCCUGAUGCAGCAACGCCGCGUGAGGGACGACGGCCUUCGGGUUGUAAACCUCUUUUAGCANGGAAGAAGCGAAAAGUGACGGUACCUGC